This 252-nucleotide ribosomal RNA is filed under the name uncultured bacterium. RNAcentral's name for it is "partial 16S ribosomal RNA". It matches the Rfam family "Bacterial small subunit ribosomal RNA", at positions 524 to 776 of the family's 1533-position model. The record is from RNAcentral.
UACGGAGGGUGCAAGCGUUAUCCGGAUUUACUGGGUUUAAAGGGUGCGUAGGCGGAUAGGUAAGUCAGGGGUGAAAUCUCGAGCUUAACUCGGAAACUGCCGUUGAUACUAUUAUCUUGAAUAUUGUGGAGGUAAGCGGAAUAUGUCAUGUAGCGGUGAAAUGCUUAGAUAUGACAUAGAACACCCAAUUGCGAAGGCAGCUUACUACACAACGAUUGACGCUGAGGCACGAAAGCGUGGGGAUCAAACAGG